Molecule: ribosomal RNA, 700 nt
Filed under: Bacillus subtilis
Lineage: Bacteria; Bacillati; Bacillota; Bacilli; Caryophanales; Bacillaceae
Description: bacterial SSU rRNA
Rfam family: Bacterial small subunit ribosomal RNA
Source: RNAcentral
UUAUCGGAGAGUUUGAUCCUGGCUCAGGACGAACGCUGGCGGCGUGCCUAAUACAUGCAAGUCGAGCGGACAGAUGGGAGCUUGCUCCCUGAUGUUAGCGGCGGACGGGUGAGUAACACGUGGGUAACCUGCCUGUAAGACUGGGAUAACUCCGGGAAACCGGGGCUAAUACCGGAUGGUUGUUUGAACCGCAUGGUUCAAACAUAAAAGGUGGCUUCGGCUACCACUUACAGAUGGACCCGCGGCGCAUUAGCUAGUUGGUGAGGUAACGGCUCACCAAGGCAACGAUGCGUAGCCGACCUGAGAGGGUGAUCGGCCACACUGGGACUGAGACACGGCCCAGACUCCUACGGGAGGCAGCAGUAGGGAAUCUUCCGCAAUGGACGAAAGUCUGACGGAGCAACGCCGCGUGAGUGAUGAAGGUUUUCGGAUCGUAAAGCUCUGUUGUUAGGGAAGAACAAGUACCGUUCGAAUAGGGCGGUACCUUGACGGUACCUAACCAGAAAGCCACGGCUAACUACGUGCCAGCAGCCGCGGUAAUACGUAGGUGGCAAGCGUUGUCCGGAAUUAUUGGGCGUAAAGGGCUCGCAGGCGGUUUCUUAAGUCUGAUGUGAAAGCCCCCGGCUCAACCGGGGAGGGUCAUUGGAAACUGGGGAACUUGAGUGCAGAAGAGGAGAGUGGAAUUCCACGUGUAGCGGUG